CCUACGGGAGGCAGCAGUGGGGAAUAUUGGGCAAUGGGCGCAAGCCUGACCCAGCAACGCCGCGUGAAGGAAGAAGGCUCUCGGGUUGUAAACUUCUUUUAUCAGGGACGAAGGAAGGGAUGGUACCUGAUGAAUAAGCCACGGCUAACUACGUGCCAGACGCCGCGGUAAUACGUAGGGGGCAAGCGUUAUACGGAUUUUCUGGGGGUAAAGGGCGGGGCGGCGGGAAAGCAAGUCCGAUGGGAAAACGAUGGGCGCAACCUGUGGCCUGCAUUGGAAACUGUUUUUCUUGAGUGCUGGAGAGGCGGACGGAAUUCCUAGUGUAGCGGUGAAAUGCGUAGAUAUUAGGAGGAACACCAGUGGCGAAGGCGGUCUGCUGGAUAGCAACUGACGCUGAGGCGCGAAAGCGUGGGGAGCAAACAGGAUUAGAUACCCCUGUAGUC
Molecule: ribosomal RNA, 443 nt
Filed under: uncultured bacterium
Lineage: Bacteria
Description: partial 16S ribosomal RNA
Rfam family: Bacterial small subunit ribosomal RNA
Source: RNAcentral